RNAcentral lists this transfer RNA (64 nucleotides) under Nepa hoffmanni. RNAcentral describes it as "tRNA-Asp". The record is from RNAcentral. Lineage: Eukaryota; Metazoa; Arthropoda; Insecta; Hemiptera; Nepidae.
GAAAAGUUAGUUUACCUAAAAUACUAACUUGUCAAGUUAGAGACGUUCAUAAAUACACUUUUUA